This 400-nucleotide unclassified non-coding RNA is filed under the name soil metagenome. RNAcentral describes it as "partial contains 5.8S ribosomal RNA, internal transcribed spacer 2, and large subunit ribosomal RNA". The stretch from base 1 to 122 matches the Rfam family "5.8S ribosomal RNA", at positions 35 to 154 of the family's 154-position model. The record is from RNAcentral.
GAUGAAGAACGCAGCGAAAUGCGAUACUUGGUGUGAAUUGCAGAAUCCCGUGAACCAUCGAGUCUUUGAACGCAAGUUGCGCCUCAAGCCAUUAGGUUGAGGGCACGUCUGCCUGGGCGUCACAUAUCGUUGCCUGAUGCCAGUUUCCUCGUGAUGGGUGACUGUGCAGGGCGAAUGAUGGCUUCCCGUGAGCAUUGUUGCCUCAUGGUUGGUUGAAAAUUGAGUCCUUGGAAGGGAGCGCCGUGAUAGAUGGUGGUUGAGUGACGAACGAGACCCAAUCAUGUGAGACCCCUACCGAAUUUGGCCUUCAUGACCCACAUGCGUCUUUGGAACGCUCAUGACGAGACCUCAGGUCAGGCGGGGCUACCCGCUGAGUUUAAGCAUAUCAAUAAGCGGAGGA